GACGAACGCUGGCGGCGUGCUUAACACAUGCAAGUCGAACGAUGAACCCGGAGCUUGCUCUGGGGGAUUAGUGGCGAACGGGUGAGUAACACGUGAGUAACCUGCCCUGGACUCUGGGAUAAGCGUUGGAGACGACGUCUAAUACCGGAUAGGACCUUGGAUCGCAUGAUCUGGGGUGGAAAGUUUUUUCGGUCUGGGAUGGACUCGCGGCCUAUCAGCUUGUUGGUGAGGUAAUGGCUCACCAAGGCGUCGACGGGUAGCCGGCCUGAGAGGGUGACCGGCCACACUGGGACUGAGACACGGCCCAGACUCCUACGGGAGGCAGCAGUGGGGAAUAUUGCACAAUGGGCGAAAGCCUGAUGCAGCAACGCCGCGUGCGGGAUGACGGCCUUCGGGUUGUAAACCGCUUUUAGUAGGGAAGAAGGGCUUCGGCUUGACGGUACCUGCAGAAAAAGGACCGGCUAACUACGUG
Molecule: ribosomal RNA, 472 nt
Filed under: uncultured bacterium
Lineage: Bacteria
Description: partial 16S ribosomal RNA
Rfam family: Bacterial small subunit ribosomal RNA
Source: RNAcentral